AAGUUGGCAUCUCUCCUACUUCCCUUAGGAAUCUUCAUAGUUUAGGGGGUUUGGAUUUGAUUCAAACUAGAAGGGUCCUAUUCCUAAUCUGUGAAGGUAUUUGAUUUGAUCUAGGACUUCUUAUCUAUUUAAGGAGAGAUGUGGAGAAGAGAGAAAUCAAUCAAGCAUUGAUCUAGGCGUGUCCCCUUUGGUGUACCCCUCUCUUGGGUGUCACUUUCUCUUGGGCAUUCUCUCUCUCCCUUAGUGGGAGGCCCACCUUGCCGUUAACUCUAGUGUUCUGAUACCGGAUAAUUUCUUGCACCAACAGAUUGGUGCUAGAGGAAGGGCUUGAUCUAUUUGGAGGAGUGUAGUCGAGAGCAUACAUCAUGCCACCAAAGAGAGUCUCUUUCCGUCACACUAACGCCACUGCCUCCCGAUCGACGGAGAGCCAGGCCAACAACCAGGUACAACCAUCGAUGAUGGAAACUCCUCCACCAGUCCAGUUAGUGCUAGUCACAGUGGACUAGUUCAACCUGCUCUUCCAGUAGGUUUAGACUUUGAUGGCCAUUGUCCAGGCGAUCCAAACCAUCCUUAUGCCUCCAUCAACAGCACCGCAGCCUGAUCAGGCUAUCCCUGCACCUCCUUGGGUGAUGCCACUAGUACCUCCCUCGGCGACAUCACCAGCACCUCCUACGGUGGCGCCACUACCAAAGCUACUCCACAAUCGUUGCCACAAUUAGAACAGCCACGGGCACCUUCAUAGAGUCUAGAGAGGAUGCAGACCCACCAGAGGCAUUUCAAAACCCAAGAACCUGUAAGGCAGCAAUCUUCGAGUCCCCAAUCGAGCAUGAUUCAACCCUUGGUCGUUGAUCUCCCCAACAGUCCGAAGCCUGCAUCGCCCGAGAUCUUGCCAUCGAGAGGUGGCUUCGAAAGAUCGAUAAGUGGAUCGAUGCGAUCUGCAACACCUCCUCGGUGCCAUAUGACGGGUUUAAUAGUAACCUACCCUUCGCUCCAAAGAUUAUGCAGGAGCCACUCCCUUAGCACUUCAAGAUGUCUUAAUUUGAGAUCUACAAC
This 1053-nucleotide long non-coding RNA is filed under the name Elaeis guineensis (African oil palm). RNAcentral's name for it is "long non-coding RNA (EGUI_LNC038527)". The record is from RNAcentral. Lineage: Eukaryota; Viridiplantae; Streptophyta; Magnoliopsida; Arecales; Arecaceae.